This 253-nucleotide ribosomal RNA is filed under the name uncultured bacterium. RNAcentral describes it as "partial 16S ribosomal RNA". It matches the Rfam family "Bacterial small subunit ribosomal RNA", at positions 524 to 776 of the family's 1533-position model. RNAcentral also lists the same sequence under 1 other name. The record is from RNAcentral.
UACGGAGGGUGCGAGCGUUAAUCGGAAUUACUGGGCGUAAAGGGUGCGUAGGUGGUCUGAUAAGUUAUCUGUGAAAUCCCUGGGCUCAACCUGGGCAGGUCAGAUAAGACUGUUGGACUCGAGUAUUGGAGAGGGUAGUGGAAUUUCCGGUGUAGCGGUGAAAUGCGUAGAGAUCGGAAGGAACACCAGUGGCGAAGGCGGCUACCUGGCCAAAUACUGACACUGAGGCACGAAAGCGUGGGGAGCAAACAGG